Long non-coding RNA from Carassius carassius (crucian carp), 2319 nucleotides. RefSeq lists it as uncharacterized. NCBI's taxonomy places the organism in Eukaryota, Metazoa, Chordata, Actinopteri, Cypriniformes, Cyprinidae. The record is from RefSeq and is a predicted model, not a curated record. The transcript has 7 exons.
CUUCAUAUCACAUACAUCUCCAGCUCCUACAACAACAUUCAGUGUCCAGCAGCUCUUUAUGAAUCUCUGUCUCUCUCUCUCUCUCUCUCUGUCUCUCUCUUUCUCUCUGCCUCUCUCUCUCUCUCAUUUUCCUUUCCUAUUUUUCUGAACUGUAGUUCAUAAUUAAGUCACACAUAUUUUUCUUUCUUUCUUUCUCUUGUUCAUCAUGGCAUAUUUUCACAGCUCAGAAUCAGAUUUGGAUCAGUUCUUGUAUUAACAGGGAACUUGAACUCGAAGCUCAAUGCUGAACUUGAAGAAGUUUCCAGUAAAGCUGAAGUCCUUCAAAGGUUCGACACAUCACAGCUGAAAAGGAAGACCAUGGGCCUGUCAAACUCUUGUCAAACCCGUCUUGUUUGUGGAGAGGGAUGAAUUUGACCAUCUUGUGUGUUUAAGGAGAAGACCAAAAGCUACUAAGGCAAAUAUUUCCAGAGGUACAAACAGAGCAGAUGGUUGCAUGAUGGCCUCUUUCAGUUUUGUCAACUGAACGUCUACUAGUGAGGCUCAGCAAGUUCUUGUCAUGAUCAGCCCACUCCAAGAAAGCUGAAGAGCAAAAACACAAAGAACAUCAGUCCUGUUGGGGAUGAGGAAUGAACAUGGCUCUAUUGUGCCCAAACAGAAAAGAGUGAAAAGUCCUAGAAUGAACAAUUUAUCAGGGCAUCAUUUCUAGAAUUUGGGCAGAAAAUUACUGAAUAUGGAAGACUGCAGUAGAAGGAAAGCUGGUACUGAAAACAUUUGUCUUCACUCACAUGGUCCAGACUAAAGAGAAGCUGGUCUGAGGCCAGAGAUGGAGGAGUCAAUGGUCACCAAAUGCAGCGCUGCAGCCUGAAACUGUGAAGACUGGAUUCCCAAACAGCUCUGUGACAGCACAGAUGUUACGGCCAUAAAGGAAACUUCACAACUUGGAGCCCAUACCUCCAACAACCUUCAACAGGAAUCAAUGGACAUCUACGCAAGGUUUUUCUUUUGUUGAGGACCGUCAAGAGACUCCAGCCACACGAGCCAUGGAUUGCUCUCACCGUUACCAUCAGACAGACGUUAUCACAGAACCAGCACCAGCAGACUGCAAGACAAGUUCCUUCCGCAGGCAAUCAGACUAAACUGAACUCGUACAGUAACACCACACACACCAGCAGCCUCAUUCUGCAGCCUGACAUUCUGUUUGCACUAAUUCAUACUGUACUGCACUGCAGAAGUAUAUCUACAGUAUACAGUGAUUGUUGUUUGUUUUCAUUUUGUUCUCUCUGUAUAGUAUAGUAUUGCACUAUAUUUUCUACCUGUAUUGAGCUCUUAUGUAUACGGUUUAUAUGUUUAAUACUGUAUAUGUGUUGCAAAUAUAUUCAGUACUUGUCAUGCUGCAGUUUGCACAAAAGCAUUUCACCACCUGUAUACUUGCAUUCAUUGGUAUUGUGAUAAUAAAGUGAUUUGACUUGAAUUGGUCACAUGACUUGUUCAUCAGUUGUACUGUUGUGCUGGAUAACAGUUGCACAUUGUUUAUGACAUUGAAGAAGAUUAUGAUAGAGACAUGGAUUUGAAGAAAACCAGGAGAGCUCUGAUGAUGAGGAGGAAACUGGAUGUGAUUCUUUGGUGCUCAAGACAUUUCACCAUGCCUUCAUCUGGGUUUCUUCAUCUGAUUAAAAUAAUAUGGUUUUAAUGUAACCCAUUUUUAUUUCACUUGAAUAUCAUUUGUCUUAAUAUGCUACUUUAUCUGUAUUUAUGCUGCAUCCUAGUAAAAUAUUGCAUAUGGUGUUGGAUAAUAAAGUAUGGUGAAUAUUCUGUACUAGAGAUGGUUUUUGGUAGAUACACCAUUUAAUUUUGUAAACAACACAUAUAAUCACCAUGGUUGUUUUGAUUAAGACAUGAACAUUUUGUCAUAUUAAUGAAAUUCAGUUAGAUGAAGAUUGGCAGAAAGCUGCAUUAGAAGAGACUGCAUGGACUUCAUGCACAACUGAAGGAGAUGAAUCAAGGAAAGAUCAACAUGAAUCCUGUUCUGUAUUAUAAUGAAGAUGAUCAUGCACAUUACUGAUGUCUAGCACCUGAGCAGGACAAAGAUGAGACAUUCUUUACAGAGAUUUAUGAAUUAGGUCUUUUAUAUUAUGAUUCUUUAAAUUGCAUGAAUUGUAUGGAACCAUAAACUGCACACUGUCACACAUUGUCUUACUGAAUGACACAUUGGCCUUGUGUGAUGAAGUGUCAGAAUAUGUAUUUGUUGUCUUUGUUUACUAUUAGCACUGUAUUAUUGCUCUUGAUCUUAUGAAAUAAAUUGAGCUCUUUCCAAAUGGG